Molecule: long non-coding RNA, 1442 nt
Organism: Dicentrarchus labrax (European seabass)
Lineage: Eukaryota; Metazoa; Chordata; Actinopteri; Moronidae
Exons: 4
Source: RefSeq, a predicted model, not a curated record
GUUUCUAGUGAGCUAAUGUUGGAUACAGAUCGAGUGUUGUGGCGAAUCAGCACAUGGCUCAUUUAAAUAUUAAAAUUAGCCAUGUGUUGAUAGGUCACAACACGAAAAUGUAACCAAUGAAAUAACUUAUUUUGACACACAUUUUAAGCCAAUAAGUAUUAAACUAACAAGGUAAUGUGUCAGAAGGUGGACUGUUUUUGUUAUUUUCUCAAAAGGAGGACAAAUGAGUGUCGGACUGCAGGACAGGGCAUUUAAUUGCGGAAUGUAACAAAAAAGGUUACAGAUGAAUUAGUUAUCUAAUAUAUAAUAAUAUAAUUAGUAUCUAGUGCUCACAAAAUAGUAUCUAGUGCAAUGCUCAGAUGAGCCUCUCUGUGUAUGUACAUAUUCCUACAACAAGUUAGUUUUGCAGCCACAAUCUUGCAGUGAAGUUGUCUAAAUGGCAUAUUUAAUUCAUUUUGAGGAAUUCCGCACAAUCCUGUAGAUAUGUAUUGUCCACAAUAUCCACUGUGUUUUGCUAGCAUGCUUGAAGUUGACACGUUGAAGAUGACUAAGAAUUCAGUAUUUGCUCUUUGUGAAAUCCAAAAAGGCUUGCUGCAAGAUAAUUGACCAUGUUUUUAUUUUCUUCUGUCCAACAGCUCCAGCCCAUAUUCCCUCCUACCUUUACCUCUCCUUGGCUUUUUCUAUAGUAAACCAACGGCUCUUUUAAGAGCCACUCCUCUACUGCACUCGCUCUCUUUCUCUCACACACGCUCACACACCCCUCUCUCUCUCUCUCUCUCUCUCUCUCACUCUCUCUCUCUCUCUCUCUCUCUCUCUCUCUCUAUAUAUAUAUAUAUAUAUAUAUAUAUAUAUAUAUAUAUAUAUAUAUAUAUAUAUAUAUAUAUAUAUAUAAUAUAUAUAUAUAUAUAUAUAUAUAUAUAUAUAUAUAUUUGUUUGUUUGUUUACCUGUCUGUUUGUCUGCGUCUGCCUUAAAUGGCUGAUCCGCGGGGCAGUGGGAAGGCAGCGGAUGCUCUUUUCCUAGCAGAAAAGUUACUGGCUGAAUAUAAAGAAAGGGAGGCAAAGAAAAAAUCUGCAUCCACUACACCUGCUGAAGGCAGUAAGCCUACUGUCCGAUGGGUGGAGAGAGAUGCAGAUGGACGUCGAAUCUUAAAAAGAAGCAGAAGUGGAGAGACACGGAAAAAACGUGCAUCGGCUACAGUUUCUGUUGCCCCUAAGGAGGCCUCUGCUUCUUUUGAGCCUGCUGAGGAGGUUCCUACAGUGACCCAAGACAACCGUUGUCAAUAUGUAUUUGGUUAUUGGCUGAAAUCUGGGAAUGCGAGGAGGAACAAACCACCAGUUUAGACAGAUUUAUUUAGAAGACAUACUGAAGGCAAACUGUAAAAUCAUAACCCACUGUUGAAAACCUAAAUCACAGUUUACACACAACUUCCUGGUUCAGCCUA